AUUGAACGCUGGCGGCAGGCCUAACACAUGCAAGUCGAACGGUAGCACAGAGAGCUUGCUCUCGGGUGACGAGUGGCGGACGGGUGAGUAACGUCUGGGAAACUGCCCGAUGGAGGGGGAUAACUACUGGAAACGGUAGCUAAUACCGCAUAACGUCGCAAGACCAAAGUGGGGGACCUUCGGGCCUCACACCAUCGGAUGUGCCCAGAUGGGAUUAGCUAGUAGGUGGGGUAAUGGCUCACCUAGGCGACGAUCCCUAGCUGGUCUGAGAGGAUGACCAGCCACACUGGAACUGCGACACGGUCCAGACUCCGACGGGAGGCAGCAGUGGGGAAUAUUGCACAAUGGGCGCAAGCCUGAUGCAGCCAUGCCGCGUGUAUGAAGAAGGCCUUCGGGUUGUAAAGUACUUUCAGCGGGGAGGAAGGCGGUGAAGUUAAUAGCUUCACCGAUUGACGUUACCCGCAGAAGAGGCACCGGCUAACUCCGUGCCAGCAGCCGCCGUAA
Molecule: ribosomal RNA, 504 nt
Filed under: uncultured bacterium
Lineage: Bacteria
Description: partial 16S ribosomal RNA
Rfam family: Bacterial small subunit ribosomal RNA
Source: RNAcentral